UACGGAGGGGGCUAGCGUUGUUCGGAAUUACUGGGCGUAAAGCGCGCGUAGGCGGCUUUGUAAGUUAGAGGUGAAAGCCCGGGGCUCAACUCCGGAACUGCCUUUAAGACUGCAUCGCUAGAACGUCGGAGAGGUGAGUGGAAUUCCGAGUGUAGAGGUGAAAUUCGUAGAUAUUCGGAAGAACACCAGUGGCGAAGGCGACUCACUGGACGACUGUUGACGCUGAGGUGCGAAAGCGUGGGGAGCAAACAGG
RNAcentral lists this ribosomal RNA (253 nucleotides) under uncultured bacterium. RNAcentral's name for it is "partial 16S ribosomal RNA". It matches the Rfam family "Bacterial small subunit ribosomal RNA", at positions 524 to 776 of the family's 1533-position model. The record is from RNAcentral.